RNAcentral lists this ribosomal RNA (504 nucleotides) under uncultured bacterium. Its description in RNAcentral is "bacterial SSU rRNA". It matches the Rfam family "Bacterial small subunit ribosomal RNA", at positions 29 to 527 of the family's 1533-position model. The record is from RNAcentral.
AGCGAACGCUGGCGGCAGGCCUAACACAUGCAAGUCGAGCGCGAAAAUUCCUUCGGGGAUGAGUAGAGCGGCGGACGGGUGAGUAACGCGUAGGAAUCUGCCCGGUAGUGGGGGACAACAGUCGGAAACGACUGCUAAUACCGCAUACGCCCUAAGGGGGAAAGCAGGGGAUCUUCGGACCUUGCGCUAUCGGAUGAGCCUGCGUCGGAUUAGCUUGUUGGUGGGGUAAUGGCCUACCAAGGCGACGAUCCGUAGCUGGUCUGAGAGGAUGAUCAGCCACACUGGGACUGAGACACGGCCCAGACUCCUACGGGAGGCAGCAGUGGGGAAUAUUGGACAAUGGGGGGAACCCUGAUCCAGCAAUGCCGCGUGUGUGAAGAAGGCCUGCGGGUUGUAAAGCACUUUAGUUAGGGAGGAGUGUUUGAAGGUUAAGAGCUAUCAAGCAGGACGUUACCUAAAGAAUAAGCACCGGCUAACUCCGUAGCCAGCAGCCGCGGUAAAGUG